UCAGAAAAUUCAAUUUUCAUGACCAACUGGGAGAAGUGAACGAGAGAUGAGCGGGAAAUACUCAGAAGAAGGCAACACCUGGAAAGUCGCGAUGGAUCAGCAGGAAUGGAGUAACAGAGGAACGAUUGCAGCAUUGAUAUCGCGACGAAGGAAGUCCAUACCUAACACCCAACGUAAGAUAUUCUAUCUGACUGGACAAGUUUAAGUAUGUGAACGUGAUAAGCAGAACUGUGAUGGAAACUUGAGGAACGAGAGGAUGACCAAUGAGGCGAAGGCGAAGGACAACAUGCUCUCAAGCGUAUCAUACAACAUGAAUGAAUUAUUAUUUCAGGAGUACAUUGGUUACGAUAAAUUAAUCAGGAAAAUUGCGUCGAGGAUAAAAUACUACCAACUUUGUUAAGAAGAAUUGUCUCCAAAGAUAUACAUAUUUCAUUUCAUUUUAUAACCAAUAUCAUUUUAUAAAUUCAUGAAUAAUAAUAACCAACGCUAACCGUUUGUAUCUUCAAUUAAAGAUAUCAAACAGCUAAUUAACGAAGGGGAUAUUGAACCAACCAUAGCCUAAUUGAUUAAUUAAUCAUUCAUUAUUCAUUAGUUAUUUGCUUUCAUUAACUGAUCAUUUGCAUCAUCAUGAGCAAGACUCAAGCUAGGAUGGUAGCUACCUACAUACGGUACAUUUAAAUUAUUGCAUCAUCAUAUGUGACAUGCGCGAAAGCGAAAUAAACAAAUCAUACGCGGUAGUUGGUCAGCGGGUGACCUAGUUUGCUUCAGCAGGUCUCUACCUGUUCUAGUUGGCAUACGGUAAGCCAAAAAGAAUGCAUAACUACCGGAGUAUAACAUAAUAAAACAUGUGACUCAUAUAAGGAAGCAUUCUAGCCGCUUCCAAUUAGAUACUAAGUAAGAGACGCGAGCUUUCUCUCUCGCGCUUUUCGAAGUACUAGAAUGUUGGUACUUUAGUAAAGAGAGCGAGAGCGGAGAAUGUGACGCUAGGCGCUUAAGUUAAGUUAAGUGGGGGGAGAAAAAAAUAACCAAAAAAUUGUAAUUAUAUAUAAGGUUUAAAAUUUGAAUAAAAUGAUGAGUUGUAGUUUUAACAGGGAA
Long non-coding RNA from Aedes albopictus (Asian tiger mosquito), 1095 nucleotides. RefSeq lists it as uncharacterized. Lineage: Eukaryota; Metazoa; Arthropoda; Insecta; Diptera; Culicidae. The record is from RefSeq and is a predicted model, not a curated record. The transcript is spliced from 2 exons.